GCUGUACAGGGGCACUCUGGUGCACCAGCUUGUGGACCAACUGAGACGGGGGGGGUGAACCCGGAUUCUCUUCUGAUGGAAGUCCUUUCCUCUAUGGAGCUUUACCAAGUCAUGCUGGAUAACCUGAAGGAUUGUUAUGAAGGUACUGGAAGAAAGGAGGAGGCCAAUGAAGAGGGUUGGACGCAAGUCAGGAGGUAGGAAGAGGUAGGGGUGGGAAUAGGCACCACUACGUACAGUACAAGUCAAAAGUUUGGACACACCUGCUCAUUGAAGGGUUUUUCUUUAUUUUUACUACUUUCUACAUUGUAGAAUAAUAGUGCAGACAUCAAAACAAUGAAAUAACACAUAUGGAAUCAUGUAGUAACCAAUUCUUUUUUAAACAAAUCAAAAUAUAUUUUAUAUUUGCGAUUCUUCAAAGUAGCCACCCUUUGCCUUGAUGACACUAACAAAAUGUCCCCAGUUGGUGUUUUAUUUUGUUUACUAUUGUUGUGGGGACUUCUGGUUCCCAUAAGUAUAGUUAAACACGUUCACACGCAGACACACCGACACACACCACACACACACACCACACACACACACCACACACACACACCACACACACACACCACACACACAGACACACACACAGACACACACCACAUGCACCAGACACACAGUGCAAAAGAAGAGUCAGCUAGCCUCUGCUCUCAUUGCUGCAUGAUGAAAGUGGCCCAAGCCUCUGAGAAGUCUGCUAAUGAUAACGAUGUGGAGGCUCUCUCUCUCUCUCUCUAUCUCCCUCUCUUGCUCUCUCAGUCCCAGCUCAGGUAUAUCCCAGCCCCUAGGCUCUCAGCCCCAGCUCAGGUAUAUCCCAGCCCCCCAGCCCCUAGGCUCUCAGUCCCAGCUCAGGUAUAUCCCAGCCCCCCAGCCCCUAGACUCUCAGUCUCAGCUCAGGUAUAUCCCAGCCCCCCAGCCCCUAGACUCUCAGUCCCAGCUCAGGUAUAUCCCAGCCCCCAAGGCUCUCAGUCCCAGCUCAGGUAUAUCCCAGCCCCCAAGGCUCUCAGUCCCAGCUCAGGUAUAUCCCAGCCCCCUAGGCUCUCAGUCCCAGCUCAGGUAUAUCCUAGACCCCCAGUCCCAGCACAGGUAUAUCCCAGCCGCCCCUUAGUCCCCCCGUCCCAGCUCAGGUAUAUCCUAGACCCCCAGUCCCAGCUCAGGUAUAUCCCAGCCCCCUAGGCUCUCAUCCCCUCUUUCAGGUAUACAUCAAUAAGCUACAUGGGAGGCCGACUCAGAGUGGAGGGGAGCUCGAAUAGCAGGGCUUAGCAUAGACUCUAUGCGUCCUAAAUGGCACCCCAUUCCCAUUGGGAGUCACCCUUAGACUCUCUUCCCAACAACCCCUGAGAGAUCUGUUACCACCAUGCCCCACUACUUGCUUCCCGCCUGCCUCUCUCUCCAGCUCUCUUUAUCUUGCUCCCUCCUCUCUCUCACACCAUCACUCUCUUCUCUCUCUCAAUUAAAUUCAGUUCAAUUCAAGGGGCUUUAUUGGCAUGGGAAUCAUAUGUUAACAUUGCCAAAGGAAGUGAGGUAGAUAAUAUACAAAAGUGAAAUAAACAAUAAAAAGGAACAGUAAAUAUUACACUCACAGAAGUUCCAAAAGAAUAAAGACAUUCAAAAUGUCAUAUUAUGUCUAUAUACAGUGUUGUAACGAUGUGCAAAUGGUUAAAGUACAAAGGGGAAAAUAAAUAAACAUAAAUAUGGGUUGUAUUUACAAUGGUGUUUGUUCUUCACUGGUUGCCCUUUUCUUGUGGAAACAGGUCACACUUAUUGCUGCUGUGAUGGAACACAGUGGUAUUUCACCCAGUAGAUUUGUGAGUUUAUCAAAAUUGGGUUUGUUUUCGAGUUAUUUGUGGAUCUGUGUAAUCUGAGGGAAAUAUGUGUCUCUAAUAUGGUCAUACAUUUGGCAGGAGGUUAGGAAGUGCAGCUCAGUUUCCAUCUCAUUUUGUGGGCAGUGUGCACAUAGCCUGUCUUUUCUUGAGAGCCAGGCAGCCUUUCUCAAUAGCAAGGCUAUGCUCACUGAGUCUGUACAUAGUCAAAGCGUUCCUUAAGUUUGGGUCAGUCACAGUGGUCAUGUAUUCUGCCACUGUGUACUCUCUGUUUAGGGCCAAAUAGCAUUCUAGUUUGCU
RNAcentral lists this long non-coding RNA (2156 nucleotides) under Salmo salar (Atlantic salmon). Its description in RNAcentral is "lncRNA (ENSSSAG00000102535.1)". Lineage: Eukaryota; Metazoa; Chordata; Actinopteri; Salmoniformes; Salmonidae. The record is from RNAcentral.